CUAUUAACCUUUUCACCCUUGUGCUGGUUAUCGGGGAUGCAGCUUCACGUGACACUGUAACCCUUACCCGAAACGAGAGAGAAUUGGUGCAUUGCAUCAUGGGUAGUCCGGGUCCCACAACCACAGAGCACAACAGGGAAACACAAAGAGAGUAACCACGCUUCCCCAGACCUGAGACAGGUGACCGCAGCUCACAAUGCACCCAAACCCAGUUGGUCAAGCCGACCACACACUGGGUCUGUGCUUCAGAGUCAGGGUUUUGCUAUUGCCAGCACUCAUGUGGUUGUCGUGACCGCAGGCAGUGAACCAUGGCCAGCAGGGUGGAUGGAGGAGGAAGUGUUCGAUUUGGGCGGACCGUGCGGUUGCCUGUGGCGUGGAACCCAGCAGAGCCGUGGGCGAGGGUGUUAGCCUCUAUUCAUCAGCUCCCAGGUGUGUCAGAUGGAAAGAUCCAUGCCUGUGCUCGGAAAAGCACACGGCUAAGCUGCCAGCUAGCCACCCGGUCACGGCAAGGCCUGCAGGCAGUUGCGAGGGGCGGAGCCUCGUCUGCAGCCAAUCUGGUGAGGAGCCCUGGGUCAGUUGAUCACGGAUGAUUCGUUCGUCUCAGACGCCCUCUUCAGCAAUCAGACGCCGUCUUCAGCAAUCAGACGCCCUCUUCAGCAAUCAGAUGUCGUCUUCAGCAAUCAGAUACUCUCUUCAGCAAUCAGACGCCGUCUUCAGCAAUCAGACGCCGUCUUCAGCAAUCAGACGCCGUCUUCAGCAAUCAGACGCCGUCUUCAGCAAUCAGACGCCCUCUUCAGCAAUCAGACGCCCUCUUCAGCAAUCAGACGCCCUCUUCAGCAAUCAGACGCCCUCUUCAGCAAUCAGACGCCGUCUUCAGCAAUCAGACGCCCUCUUCAGCAAUCAGACGCCCUCUUCAGCAAUCAGACGCCCUCUUCAGCAAUCAGACGCCCUCUUCAGCAAUCAGACGCCCUCUUCAGCAAUCAGACGCUCUCUUCAGCAAUCAGACGCCCUCUUCAGCAAUCAGACGCCCUCUUCAGCAAUCAGACACCCUCUUCAGCAAUCAGAUGCCGUCUUCAGCAAUCAGAUACUCUCUUCAGCAAUCAGACGCCCUCUUCAGCAAUCAGACGCCGUCUUCAGCAAUCAGACACCCUCUUCAGAAAUCAGACCCCAUCUUCAGCAGACGCCCUCUUCAGCAAUCAGAUGCUGUCUUCAGCAAUCAGAUCCCCUCCUCAGCAAUGAGACACCCUCUUCAGAAAUCAGACGCCAUCUUCAGCAGAUGCCCUCUUCAGUGAACAGACAGAUCCACCUCACGUCCCCUUCAGCAAUUGGUAUUCCCAAGUGUGUGCAUGUUGCUGUGGGAAUGUACCUAUUGGCCAGAUUUCCAUCUCCUGUCUGUGCCUGAGGAAUCUCCUUCAUGCCAGGCAGGUCCAGCAUGCAGAAGGUGCCAGAAGGAAAGAAAUCCGGAUGGGAGUGUGUCGGUGCUGCCCAGUCGAGGCCAAGAAUGCCAGUCUACUGACCUUUGACCUCUGAGCAGGAAGCUGGGUUUAGUGUAGAGAUAUGGGGGGAAUUGUGCUCCUUCCGAGCUGGGAUACAAACCCACCCCCCCCUCCCUGCCCCCCCAAGUACUCCAUUCUCACUUGACACAGCUAGGUACAACACACAGACAGAAAACUAAAUCGAAAGCUCUGUCUGGAUAUUAUGGGAUAUGAGGACGGUUCUGCCCAAAUGCACCUCCCAAGAAUCUGGGAGCGUCCUCUUAUUCCAAAAAUCUGUGCCCACAUGUGGGUUCGAGGAUUACACUCUACUGUGUGGAUUUUAGGCACAGGAGGCUUGCUCCAUCAUCAUGGCCGCCAGUGUUGGCUCGCGAUGCGUGAGGCUGGGCAUGUCCCUCUUGGGUGGGAGCUGUUGUUCCCCCCCCAUCACAAAGCGCGGGGCGCGGCCACUCCUCUGGGCCAGCAAAGCAAGGCAGGUCUAAACAUGAGCGCACUUCUCCAAUAGCAGCCCCCACUGACUCAGCACCCCAAACCCGUGCAGCUCUGACAGAGUUGCGACGACUCACCUGAGUCAUGUGUCAUGUCCGUGUCUCGCCCCUGUGUGCCCCACCUCAACAGGAGGGGGGGCUACAUAUUGUGGUCACUACUCGCAAACAUGCAACAUUGAGCUUGUGCUGCUGGUGUUCCGGUUCAGCGUCUCAUUCUGGACUUGCUGGGGUCGAAACCCCAACACAUUCUGCCCAUUUUAUACCUCCUCCUACUGUGUUUCCAUCUGUGGUCACCCAAAAAAUGCCAGGAGAUCCUUCUGUCCACACUGAGCCACGACCCAUCAUGCCGGCCCCUGCUGGACGUGAUGAAGCUGAUUCCUGUGGAUGCCUGGCCAUUGAGGCUCAGCUGUAAUGUGGCAGAUCACAGCCAUAGCCGACAUUAAGUGACUUCCUCAUGUGAGCCAUUCCCUGCUUUGUUCUGAGUUCACACAGCUCUUCCGUUCAGUCCCGCUGCCUGAUAAGAGCUGCCUGUCCUGGGGUUGAACGAGGGAGGGGGUCCCUAUACCUGCCUCCCCGCAGACCACCAGCAAGAGCACGGGAAGCAGACCUCACAUUUCUUGAGCUUGACAGCUCCGUUUUAAGCAGGCUUUUCCUUUUUUCCUUGUCAUUUAUCACUUUUAUUUUUUUUAUCCUGUUAUGUUAUUUCCAGAUGCACUGGUGUGGUUUUUAAGUGGGGGGGGUUCAUAUGGGGGUGUCUCUCUUGCACCCUUAGAUAAUAAAGGAGAGAUGAAACACCCAGGAUGGCUGCCUCCCGACAUGUGCUUUCAGCUGGGGGGGGGAGACUGGUGGUUCACAAAGGACCAUAAAAAUACCGUUUCACAGUCUUCCUGGCACCAGAGAGCUUAACUGUAAAGCUCGGUCAAGCACAUUUACGCACAUAGAUGACAGACACAGGGCGAACGGCGACCCCACCCUGUCCUCAUAUGUCCCCCCCCACACACACACACAGACACGCACGCACACACACGGGUUUGUAAUUAUAUCUUUGUGGGGACUCUCUAUUCAUUUCUUAUCGCCUAACCGGCACUAACCGUAACCAUAAGUAACCAAAUGAAACACGAGACUUUUGGCAUUUUUACUUUUUUGAUUGUAUUCACAGGUCUUUGUGAGGGCCUGGAAAAUGGUCCUCACGAUGUUCAAAAAAAAACAUCAUUGUGGGGACAUUGUGGUCUAAUCCACACACACACGGCACAGCUAAUGGCACCAGCGUUCCUGUACCGCUUCCCCAGCAGAUCCGAAGCAGGCGCAGUGAUUAUGUCAAAGUUCCUGGGCCUCUUGCUGUGGGACAUCAGAAGCCAUGAUCCUCAUAGCCACAAACAUCUGGAACAAGAGGCUGCAGCUUCACUCCAGGCUUCCUGUCGUGGAGGAACUGGCUGGCGGUCGGUGCCAAUCUUCAGAAUUUGAUGUAUGCUGGCAUGGCGAUGAUGAUGAUGAUGAAGAUGGUGAUUGUUGGUUUGAAUCCCAUCUCCUGGAAUAAUCAUGUCUCUGUCGGACCCUUGAGCAAGGCCUUUAACCCGCUAAAACGUACCAGAGGUGCCCAGUAAAUGGCUGACACUGAGCUUAGACCUCAAGCUUUCUCUCAUAAUAGACAUAAGGUGCGUAUGUCUUAGAGGAGAGCAAGACGGGAUAUGCAGAAAACAAAAGAAUUCCGGUGUAAUCGUGCAAACGGCAAAUAAAAACGUCACUUCAUUUCAUCAGCCAGAGUGCAGACCAGGACAAAUCUCCAGACGGCCGCCAGCAGGAACCUGCUGCCUGCUGAUUUACCCAUUUUCUUGCGUGAUUCUCCACCGGUGCAGAUCUGAUCUGCAGGCCCCCCAGCAUUCUGCUGGCUCCUCGCACACGUACAGAUCUUAGGUGUUCCCGUCCAGACACGCCCGGAGCUGACCGCACCCACACCGUUUGUGACGAGGAGUGCAUCCGAGGCUUGGAAAGUGGAUCCGGAAGUCUG
Long non-coding RNA from Brienomyrus brachyistius, 3989 nucleotides. RefSeq lists it as uncharacterized. The record is from RefSeq and is a predicted model, not a curated record. Lineage: Eukaryota; Metazoa; Chordata; Actinopteri; Osteoglossiformes; Mormyridae. The transcript is spliced from 3 exons.